UUAAUAGGAUUAUUAUUAAUAAUAUUAUUAAUCUAAUAUAUAUAAUAAAAAUAUUUGUUUGUUUAGUAUUGUGUAAAUGAAUACUUUAUUAUUAAUUAUAGUUUAUCAGUACUUUAAAGGAAAAGCUAAUAUUUAAUAAAAGUAUAAUUAAUUAUUAGUACCUUUUGUAUCAGGGUUUAUUAAUUAUUACUAAUAUUUAUUAGUAAUCCCGAAUUUAUAAGAUAUAUAUUAUUAUAUUUAAUAAUGUAUUAAAGUUAUAUAAAAUAAUAAUAUAGUAAUGAUAUGUUAUUCACUUAUUAUAUAUCUGGUUUUUUAAUAAAUAAAUUUAAUUUAGGUAUAUUUAUAUAUAUAUAUAUUUAAUUAUUUAAUAUAUAAAUAUACUACUAUUAUUGGGGAUAAGCUCAAUAAUAAUAUUAUAAUUAAUUUAUACACUAAAGUUAUAAUAGGUUUAAUAUUGACCAUUUUAUAUUUCAUUAUAGAAUUCCUUUAGUAGUUAAGUUUACUUAAUUUUAAUUUAAUAGUAUAUUAAAAUAAUAUAUAUAUUAAUAAAGUAUAUAUAAUAAUGAUAGAAUUAGUAUUAAUAUAAUAUAAAAUAUAUUAAUUCGGCUAAUAUUAUCUUCACCUGUUUAUCAAAAACAUGUCCUUUUGAGUAUAAAUUAAUAUAAGGUCUGACCUGCCCAAUGAUUUAUAAUAAAUUUAAUGGCCGCAGUAUCUUAACUGUGCGAAGGUAGCAUAAUCAUUUGUCCUUUAAUUGUGGACUAGUAUGAAUGGUCUGAUGAAGGAUUAACUUUAUUUAUUUUAUUGUUAAAAACUUAAUUUAUGAGUAAAAAAGCUUAUAUAAUAUUAAGGGACGAGAAGACCCUAUAGAACUUUACUUAUAAUAACUUUAUUAAUAUAUAGAUCAUUAAUUAUUGUUAAUUUUAUUAUAAGUUUUAUUGGGGAGAUAGUUAAAUUUAAUUAACUUUAACUUACUAAUUUUAUCAACAAUUAUUGAUAAUAAUUGAUCCAAUUUUAUUGAUUAAAAGAGUAAGUUACCUUAGGGAUAACAGCGUAAUUCUAUUGGAGAGUUCAUAUUAAUAAUGGAGUUUGCGACCUCGAUGUUGGAUUAAAAUAAGUAUUAAAUGCAGAAGUUUAAUAACUAAGUCUGUUCGACUUUUAAAAUUUUACAUGAUCUGAGUUCAAACCGGCGUGAGCCAGGUUGGUUUCUAUCUUUAAUUAUAAGUAUAAUAUUUUAGUACGAAAGGACCAAAUAUUAGGAAUAUUUCCAUGAUUUAUUGAUUAAUAAUA
RNAcentral lists this ribosomal RNA (1287 nucleotides) under Himacerus nodipes. Its description in RNAcentral is "16S ribosomal RNA". The stretch from base 844 to 1215 matches the Rfam family "Archaeal large subunit ribosomal RNA", at positions 2150 to 2716 of the family's 2987-position model. The record is from RNAcentral. Lineage: Eukaryota; Metazoa; Arthropoda; Insecta; Hemiptera; Nabidae.